GAGCUUUGUGCUUUUGCCUGAAUCCGUUUGUCCUAAACCAUAUAUAAGAUGGAGAAAAGGAACACAAGCUGCUAAAGAUUGAUAAAAGCAUAUUUAUUUCGAUAAUGGCAUAUCCAUUCAGCGUUCAUAGCCUAGAAUUGUCUGUUAUACAUAUUUUGGUUUUAGCAUUCUAUUUCGUACGUAGUGUGACACAGCCAAGUAAGAGACGGAGCUUGACAAUUGCAACUGGAAUUGAAACUAUAAUCCACAAUGGCUUCUUCUUUACAUAAUCAUUAGCAACCUAUACGCUGUCAGUUUAGAGAAACCCACACAUCAAUAGGAUUGGAGAUAAUGAUUUAAUUGGUUUAUAGCCUGUACAGCCAUCUAUUGCUAGAGCUGGG
This 380-nucleotide unclassified non-coding RNA is filed under the name Hevea brasiliensis (rubber tree). The record is from RNAcentral. Lineage: Eukaryota; Viridiplantae; Streptophyta; Magnoliopsida; Malpighiales; Euphorbiaceae.